This 468-nucleotide ribosomal RNA is filed under the name uncultured bacterium. Its description in RNAcentral is "partial 16S ribosomal RNA". It matches the Rfam family "Bacterial small subunit ribosomal RNA", at positions 28 to 507 of the family's 1533-position model. The record is from RNAcentral.
GACGAACGCUGGCGGCGUGCUUAACACAUGCAAGUCGAACGGAAAGGCCCUGCUUUUGUGGGGUGCUGGAGUGGCGAACGGGUGAGUAACACGUGAGUAACCUGCCCUUGACUUUGGGAUAACUUCAGGAAACUGGGGCUAAUACCGGAUAGGAGCUCCUGCUGCAUGGUGGGGGUUGGAAAGUUUCGGCGAUUGGGGAUGGACUCGCGGCUUAUCAGCUUGUUGGUGGGGUAGUGGCUUACCAAGGCUUUGACGGGUAGCCGGCCUGAGAGGGUGACCGGCCACAUUGGGACUGAGAUACGACCCAGACUCCUACGGGAGGCAGCAGUGGGGAAUAUUGCACAAUGGGCGGAAGCCUGAUGCAGCAACGCCGCGUGCGGGAUGACGGCCUUCGGGUUGUAAACCGCUUUCGCCUGUGACGAAGCGUGAGUGACGGUAAUGGGUAAAGAAGCACCGGCUAACUACGUG